RNAcentral lists this ribosomal RNA (252 nucleotides) under uncultured bacterium. Its description in RNAcentral is "partial 16S ribosomal RNA". It matches the Rfam family "Bacterial small subunit ribosomal RNA", at positions 524 to 776 of the family's 1533-position model. The record is from RNAcentral.
UACGAAGGGGGCUAGCGUUGUUCGGAAUUACUGGGCGUAAAGCGCACGUAGGCGGAUUGUUAAGUCGGGGGUGAAAUCCUGAGGCUCAACCUCAGAACUGCCUUCGAUACUGGCGAUCUGAGUUCGGAAGAGGUUGGUGGAACAGCUAGUGUAGAGGUGAAAUUCGUAGAUAUUAGCUAGAACACCAGUGGCGAAGGCGGCCAACUGGUCCGAUACUGACGCUGAGGUGCGAAAGCGUGGGGAGCAAACAGG